GGGAUAUUGGACAAUGGGGGGAACCCUGAUCCAGCGACGCCGCGUGAGUGAAGAAGUAUUUCGGUAUGUAAAGCUCUGUCAGCAGGGGAGAAAGAAAUGACGGUACCUGACCACGAAGCCCCGGCAAACUACGUCCCAGCAGCCGCGGUAAUACGUAGGGGGCAAGCGUUAUCCGUACUUACUGGGUGUAAAGGGAGCGUAGACGGUUAAGUAAGUCUGGAGUGAAAGGCCGGGGCCAAACCCCGGGACUGCUCUGGAAACUAUUCAACUUGAGUGCAGGAGAGGUAAGCGGAAUUCCUAGUGUAGCGGUGAAAUGCGUAGAUAUUAGGAGGAACACCAGUGGCGAAGGCGGCUUACUGGACUGUAACUGACGUUGAGGCUCGAAAGCGUGGGGAGCAAAC
Molecule: ribosomal RNA, 401 nt
Filed under: uncultured bacterium
Lineage: Bacteria
Description: bacterial SSU rRNA
Rfam family: Bacterial small subunit ribosomal RNA
Source: RNAcentral